RNAcentral lists this ribosomal RNA (465 nucleotides) under uncultured bacterium. RNAcentral describes it as "bacterial SSU rRNA". It matches the Rfam family "Bacterial small subunit ribosomal RNA", at positions 917 to 1382 of the family's 1533-position model. The record is from RNAcentral.
GGGCCCGCACAAGCGGUGGAGCAUGUGGUUUAAUUCGAUGCAACGCGAAGAACCUUACCUACUCUUGACAUCCAGAGAACUUAGCAGAGAUGCUUUGGUGCCUUCGGGAACUCUGAGACAGGUGCUGCAUGGCUGUCGUCAGCUCGUGUUGUGAAAUGUUGGGUUAAGUCCCGCAACGAGCGCAACCCUUAUCCUUUGUUGCCAGCGGUUCGGCCGGGAACUCAAAGGAGACUGCCAGUGAUAAACUGGAGGAAGGUGGGGAUGACGUCAAGUCAUCAUGGCCCUUACGAGUAGGGCUACACACGUGCUACAAUGGCGCAUACAAAGAGAAGCGACCUCGCGAGAGCAAGCGGACCUCAUAAAGUGCGUCGUAGUCCGGAUUGGAGUCUGCAACUCGACUCCAUGAAGUCGGAAUCGCUAGUAAUCGUAGAUCAGAAUGCUACGGUGAAUACGUUCCCGGGCCUU